Molecule: ribosomal RNA, 1278 nt
Filed under: activated sludge metagenome
Description: bacterial LSU rRNA
Rfam family: Bacterial large subunit ribosomal RNA
Source: RNAcentral
CUGAUUGGAUGCGAGGGCCUCACCGCCUAUCAAAUCCAGACAAACUCCGAAUGCUAUAAAAUAUACUCGGGAGUGAGGCGUUGGGUGCUAAGGUCCAGCGCCGAGAGGGAAAGAACCCAGACCAUCAGCUAAGGUCCCUAAAUCUAUACUAAGUUGAUCUAACGAGGUCUGAUUGCAUUGACAGCUAGGAUGUUGGCUUGGAAGCAGCCAUUCAUUUAAAGAGUGCGUAACAGCUCACUAGUCGAGCGAUCGGGCGUGGAUAAUACUCGGGCAUCAAGUAUAGUACCGAAGCUAUGGAUUAAAUAGUAAUAUUUACUGGUAGGGGAGCAUUCCAGUCUGCGUCGAAGGUGUGUCGUAAGGCAUGCUGGAGCGUCUGGAAAAGCAAAUGUAGGCAUAAGUAACGAUAAUGCGGGUGGGAAACCCGCACACCGAAAGACCAAGGAUUCCUGAUCAACGCUAAUCGGAUCAGGGUUAGUCGGGGCCUAAGUCGAACCCGAACGGGGUAGACGAUGGACAACAUGUUAAUAUUCAUGUACCAGCACGACUGCGAUGGGGUGGAGGAGGUGUGAAAGGACCGCGAACUGACGGAAUAGUUCGUUGAAGGGUGUAGAUAUAUCUGGAGUAGGCAAAUCCGCUCCGGAUGUCGAACCUGAUAGUACCGCGAGCUCUCGGGCAAGCGGAUAGUGUCCCUAAUCAGACUCACAAGAAAAACCCCUAAGCUUCAGGUUAGUGCUGCCCGUACCGGAAACCAACACAGGUGGUCGAGGAGAGUAUCCAAAGGUGCUCGAGUGAAUCAUGGCUAAGGAACUAGGCAAAUUAGUCCUGUAACUUCGGAAUAAAGGACCCCGUCUUUGACGGGCGCAGAGAAAUGGCCCAGGCGACUGUUUAUCAAAAACACAUGGCUUUGCUAAAUCGAAAGAUGACGUAUAAGGCCUGACACCUGCCCGGUGCUGGAAGGUUAAGAGGAGAGGUCAUAUGGAGCAAUCUGUAGAAGCUUUGAAUUGAAGCCCCAGUAAACGGCGGCCGUAACUAUAACGGUCCUAAGGUAGCGAAAUUCCUUGUCGGGUAAGUUCCGACCUGCACGAAUGGUGUAACGAUCUGAGCACUGUCUCGGCCACGAGCUCGGUGAAAUUGUAGUUUCGGUGAAGAUGCCGGAUACCCGCAGCGGGACGAAAAGACCCCGUGCACCUUUACUAUAGCUUCACAUUGACAUCGGCUGCCCGAUGUGUAGGAUAGGUGGGAGACUUUGAAGCGGUGUCGCUAGGCAUCGUGGAGUCA